AAGACUUUAAGUUAAAAAAACUAUUAACCUUCAAAGUUGAAAUUAUUAAAUAAUGUAUUAAGUCUUA
This 67-nucleotide transfer RNA is filed under the name Vatana ogromna. RNAcentral describes it as "tRNA-Trp". Lineage: Eukaryota; Metazoa; Arthropoda; Insecta; Hemiptera; Cicadellidae. The record is from RNAcentral. RNAcentral also lists the same sequence under 1 other name.